CUUCACAACUUCACUUUCAAGAUGAUGCUCAGACUCUCUGCUCUGGUGACAGUGCUCUGUCUACCCUGUUUAAAUGGUCAGGCUUUGGAGUCCAUUCCCUCCACUUCAGUGUUGAAAAAGCCUCAGGAAGCCUUCAGUCUUUCCUGUAGAGGGUCUGGUUUUGACUUUGGCCAGUAUGGAAUGCACUGGAUCAGACAACCAGCAGGAAAGACACUAGAAUGGAUGGGAGCAAUCUGGUAUGAUGCAAGUAAAACCAUUUAUGCCAGCAGUGUGCAAGGACGUAUAGAAAUCACCAGAGACAACAGCAACAGCAUGGUGCAUCUGAGACUUUCCAGCCUAAAGCCAGAGGACUCUGCUGCGUAUUACUGUGCUAGAAAGCCACAGUAA
Molecule: non-coding RNA, 387 nt
Organism: Maylandia zebra (zebra mbuna)
Lineage: Eukaryota; Metazoa; Chordata; Actinopteri; Cichliformes; Cichlidae
Source: the annotation of a RefSeq genome assembly